GCGACCCCAGGUCAGGCGGGAUCACCCGCUGAGUUUAAGCAUAUC
RNAcentral lists this ribosomal RNA (45 nucleotides) under Isatis tinctoria. RNAcentral's name for it is "partial 26S ribosomal RNA". RNAcentral also lists the same sequence under 3 other names. The record is from RNAcentral. Lineage: Eukaryota; Viridiplantae; Streptophyta; Magnoliopsida; Brassicales; Brassicaceae.